Small nucleolar RNA from Hyla sarda, 134 nucleotides. RefSeq annotates it as small nucleolar RNA SNORA40. The record is from RefSeq and is a predicted model, not a curated record. NCBI's taxonomy places the organism in Eukaryota, Metazoa, Chordata, Amphibia, Anura, Hylidae. The transcript has a single exon.
AGCACUUUGCUUUCUUGUUUCAAUGUUUGGCUUUUUAGGUGCAAACAUUAAAAAAGUGCUAAGAGUAAAACCUUCUUUUGCAACCCACAACUACUUUAUUUGUAGGAGUUGUGUUACUAAUGGGAAGGUACAUG